This 83-nucleotide transfer RNA is filed under the name Bacteroidota bacterium. Its description in RNAcentral is "Bacteroidetes bacterium (activated sludge metagenome) tRNA-Leu". It matches the Rfam family "tRNA". Rfam says of the family: Transfer RNA (tRNA) molecules are approximately 80 nucleotides in length. Their secondary structure includes four short double-helical elements and three loops (D, anti-codon, and T loops). Lineage: Bacteria; Pseudomonadati; Bacteroidota. The record is from RNAcentral.
GCCGAGGUGGUGGAAUUGGCAGACACACUGGUCUUAGAAGCCAGCGCCUUACGGCAUUAAGGGUUCAAAUCCCUUCCUCGGCA